Molecule: non-coding RNA, 125 nt
Organism: Triticum urartu
Lineage: Eukaryota; Viridiplantae; Streptophyta; Magnoliopsida; Poales; Poaceae
Source: Rfam
AAAGUACUCCCUCCAUCCUGAAAUACUUGUCGAAGGAAUGGAUGUAUCUAGAUGUAUUUUAGUUCUAUAUACAUCCAUUUUUAUGUAUUUUUCCGAAAAGUAUUUCGGGACGAAGGGAGUACCAG